AACCGCCGUAUACGCGACCCGUACGUACGGUGGUGUGAGAGGCGCACCCCAUCAGUUAUGACUGGUGGGGCCGUCUACUCGAU
This 83-nucleotide non-coding RNA is filed under the name Marinoscillum furvescens DSM 4134. The record is from RNAcentral. Lineage: Bacteria; Pseudomonadati; Bacteroidota; Cytophagia; Cytophagales; Reichenbachiellaceae.